Molecule: non-coding RNA, 45 nt
Organism: Schistosoma curassoni
Lineage: Eukaryota; Metazoa; Platyhelminthes; Trematoda; Strigeidida; Schistosomatidae
Source: Rfam
AUCCAUCUGAUGAGUGCAAAAUAGGACGAAAAGUGCGUCUUGAAU